GGCGGUCCGGGCCCCUCGCCACUACCGCCGCCGCCGCCGCCGUGAGUCCCGCGGAGCCGCGCGCGCCCCCGGCUGGGCCGAGCCGCUGGCCGACGAGCGGAGCCGCAGGAGCCGGCGGGGACGCCAUGCGAGCCAGAUCCCUUCUGUGAGGAUGAAAUUGAAAACUCCGGUUUCUGGCUUGGCGAUCGGGUGACCCAGCAGCCGCGAGGUGACAGCGCCGGCGGCCCGCGGGCGGGGACCGGCUGGGAUAGAGGCGCGUUGUUCUCUGAGCGAUGUUUACCGAGAAGCCCGCUCCGCGGCACGGGCGGGUGUCUGUUGGGACCCCAACCCUGGGUCCCGCGGCUCCUAGCCCGGGGCCUGCGGUGUAGACGGGGGUUGGGGACAGGCCCAGCUGGCCCUGACCGGGUGUCGGGCGCCCAGAGAUGCCGCGCGGGAGGAGCCGCGGGAGAGCCGCCGGACUCAGCGAGCAGAGAGGGUCGUGGAGCCUGAUGGAUCGAUGAGAUCUGAAAAAGAACACUGUGCGAGAUUGUAUUCCUGCUUAUUCUUUCCAAGUUAGUAGGCAGAUUGGAACUAUAGAAUUUAUCCGUGAUAAUAAUAAAGUUCGCAUAACUUUU
RNAcentral lists this small RNA (614 nucleotides) under Pan troglodytes (chimpanzee). RNAcentral's name for it is "processed transcript". The record is from RNAcentral. Lineage: Eukaryota; Metazoa; Chordata; Mammalia; Primates; Hominidae.